This 21-nucleotide small nuclear RNA is filed under the name Arabidopsis thaliana (thale cress). Its description in RNAcentral is "snRNA_05875". Lineage: Eukaryota; Viridiplantae; Streptophyta; Magnoliopsida; Brassicales; Brassicaceae. The record is from RNAcentral.
UGCUCUUCUGAUUCUAAAGAG